This 83-nucleotide transfer RNA is filed under the name Salvia splendens (bonfire salvia). It matches the Rfam family "tRNA". From Rfam's summary of the family: Transfer RNA (tRNA) molecules are approximately 80 nucleotides in length. Their secondary structure includes four short double-helical elements and three loops (D, anti-codon, and T loops). Lineage: Eukaryota; Viridiplantae; Streptophyta; Magnoliopsida; Lamiales; Lamiaceae. The record is from Rfam by way of RNAcentral.
CCGACCUUAGCUCAGCGGUAGAGCGGAGGACUGUAGUGUGUGCUGAAAUCCUUAGGUCGCUCGUGCGAAUCCGGCAGGUCGGA